Molecule: ribosomal RNA, 991 nt
Filed under: Candidatus Phytoplasma fraxini
Lineage: Bacteria; Bacillati; Mycoplasmatota; Mollicutes; Acholeplasmatales; Acholeplasmataceae
Description: bacterial SSU rRNA
Rfam family: Bacterial small subunit ribosomal RNA
Source: RNAcentral
UUUUUCGGAAGGUAUGCUUAAAGAUGGGCUUGCGCCACAUUAGUUAGUUGGUAGGGUAAUGGCCUACCAAGACGAUGAUGUGUAGCUGGACUGAGAGGUCGAACAGCCACAUUGGGACUGAGACACGGCCCAAACUCCUACGGGAGGCAGCAGUAGGGAAUUUUCGGCAAUGGAGGAAACUCUGACCGAGCAACGCCGCGUGAACGAUGAAGUAUUUCGGUAUGUAAAGUUCUUUUAUUGAAGAAGAAAAAAUAGUGGAAAAACUAUCUUGACGUUAUUCAAUGAAUAAGCCCCGGCUAACUAUGUGCCAGCAGCCGCGGUAAUACAUAGGGGGCGAGCGUUAUCCGGAAUUAUUGGGCGUAAAGGGUGCGUAGGCGGUUAGGAAAGUCUAUAAUUUAAUUUCAGUGCUUAACGCUGUCUUGUUAUAGAAACUACCUUGACUAGAGUUAGAUAGAGGCAAGCGGAAUUCCAUGUGUAGCGGUAAAAUGUGUAAAUAUAUGGAGGAACACCAGAAGCGUAGGCGGCUUGCUGGGUCUUGACUGACGCUGAGGCACGAAAGCGUGGGUAGCAAACAGGAUUAGAUACCCUGGUAGUCCACGCCGUAAACGAUGAGUACUAAGUGUCGGGGUAAAACUCGGUACUGAAGUUAACACAUUAAGUACUCCGCCUGAGUAGUACGUACGCAAGUAUGAAACUUAAAGGAAUUGACGGGACUCCGCACAAGCGGUGGAUCAUGUUGUUUAAUUCGAAGAUACACGAAAAAUCUUACCAGGUCUUGACAUGCUUUGCAAAGCUAUAGAAAUAUAGUGGAGGUUAUCAGGGACACAGGUGGUGCAUGGUUGUCGUCAGUUCGUGUCGUGAGAUGUUAGGUUAAGUCCUAAAACGAGCGCAACCCUUGUCGUUAAUUGCCAGCACGUAAUGGUGGGGACUUUAGCGAGACUGCCAAUUAAAAAUUGGAGGAAGGUGAGGAUUACGUCAAAUCAUCAUGCCC